UUGGAGGGCAAGUCUGGUGCCAGCAGCCGCGGUAAUUCCAGCUCCAAUAGCGUAUAUUAAAGUUGUUGCAGUUAAAAAGCUCGUAGUUGAAUUUCGGGGUCAGUAGGUUGGUCAUGCCACUGGUAUGUACUGGUCUCACUGAUUCCUCCUUCCUGAUGAGCCGUAAUGCCAUUAAUUUGGUGUUGCGAGGAAUCUGGACUGUUACUUUGAAAAAAUUAGAGUGUUUAAAGCAGGCUAACGCUUGAAUACAUUAGCAUGGAAUAAUGAAAUAGGACGUUCGAUCUUAUUUUGUUGGUUUCUAAGAUUGACGUAAUGAUUAAUAGGGAUAGUUGGGGGCAUUAGUAUUCAAUUGUCAGAGGUGAAAUUCUUGGAUUUAUUGAAGACUAACUACUGCGAAAGCAUUUGCCAAGGAUGUUUUCAUUAAUCAAGAGCGAAAGUUAGGGGAUCGAAGACGAUCAGAUACCGUCGUAGUCUUAACCAUAAACUAUGCCGACUAGGGAUCGGAUGAUGUUAAUUUUUUAAUGACUCAUUCGGCGCCUUACGGGAAACCAAAGUGUUUGGGUUC
Molecule: ribosomal RNA, 565 nt
Filed under: uncultured Glomeromycotina
Lineage: Eukaryota; Fungi; Glomeromycota
Description: SSU rRNA
Rfam family: Eukaryotic small subunit ribosomal RNA
Source: RNAcentral